RNAcentral lists this unclassified non-coding RNA (173 nucleotides) under uncultured Hypomyces. RNAcentral's name for it is "sequence contains ITS2". Lineage: Eukaryota; Fungi; Ascomycota; Sordariomycetes; Hypocreales; Hypocreaceae. The record is from RNAcentral.
CAACCCUCAGGCCCCCCUAGGGGGGACUGGCGUUGGGGGACGGCCCCUCCCGGCCGCCCCCGAAAUGCAGUGGCGACCCCGCCGCAGCCUCCCCUGCGUAGUAGCUGUUACAACAUGGAAACCUCGCACCGGAGAGCGGCGCUGCUCGGCCGUGAAACCCCAACUUUCUGAAA